Molecule: ribosomal RNA, 497 nt
Filed under: uncultured bacterium
Lineage: Bacteria
Description: partial 16S ribosomal RNA
Rfam family: Bacterial small subunit ribosomal RNA
Source: RNAcentral
GAUGAACGCUGGCGGCGUGCCUAAUACAUGCAAGUCGAGCGAACAGAUGAGGAGCUUGCUCCUCUGACGUUAGCGGCGGACGGGUGAGUAACACGUGGAUAACCUACCUAUAAGACUGGGAUAACUUCGGGAAACCGGAGCUAAUACCGGAUAAUAUAUUGAACCGCAUGGUUCAAUAGUGAAAGACGGUUUUGCUGUCACUUAUAGAUGGAUCCGCGCCGCAUUAGCUAGUUGGUAAGGUAACGGCUUACCAAGGCAACGAUGCGUAGCCGACCUGAGAGGGUGAUCGGCCACACUGGGACUGAGACACGGUCCAGACUCCUACGGGAGGCAGCAGUAGGGAAUCUUCCGCAAUGGGCGAAAGCCUGACGGAGCAACGCCGCGUGAGUGAUGAGGGUCUUCGGAUCGUAAAACUCUGUUAUUAGGGAAGAACAAAUGUGUAAGUAACUAUGCACGUCUUGACGGUACCUAAUCAGAAAGCCACGGCUAACUACGUG